GUAGGGUGCGAGCGUUAAUCGGAAUUACUGGGCGUAAAGCGUGCGCAGGCGGUUCGUUGUGUCGGUGGUGAAAGCCCCGGGCUCAACCUGGGAAUGGCCAUGGAAACUGGCGAACUGGAGUGUGGCAGAGGGGGGUGGAAUUCCGCGUGUAGCAGUGAAAUGCGUAGAGAUGCGGAGGAACACCGAUGGCGAAGGCAGCCCCCUGGGCUAGCACUGACGCUCAGGCACGAAAGCGUGGGGAGCAAACAGGAUUAGAUACCCUGGUAGUCCACGCCCUAAACGAUGUCAACUAGGUGUUCGGGAAGCGAUUUCUGGGUACCGUAGCUAACGCGUGAAGUUGACCGCCUGGGGAGUACGGCCGCAAGGUUA
This 369-nucleotide ribosomal RNA is filed under the name uncultured bacterium. RNAcentral's name for it is "bacterial SSU rRNA". It matches the Rfam family "Bacterial small subunit ribosomal RNA", at positions 527 to 896 of the family's 1533-position model. The record is from RNAcentral.